Molecule: ribosomal RNA, 497 nt
Filed under: uncultured bacterium
Lineage: Bacteria
Description: partial 16S ribosomal RNA
Rfam family: Bacterial small subunit ribosomal RNA
Source: RNAcentral
GACGAACGCUGGCGGCGUGCCUAAUACAUGCAAGUAGAACGCUGAAGAGAGGAGCUUGCUCUUCUUGGAUGAGUUGCGAACGGGUGAGUAACGCGUAGGUAACCUGCCUUGUAGCGGGGGAUAACUAUUGGAAACGAUAGCUAAUACCGCAUAACAAUGGAUGACCCAUGUCAUUUAUUUGAAAGGGGCAAAUGCUCCACUACAAGAUGGACCUGCGUUGUAUUAGCUAGUAGGUGAGGUAACGGCUCACCUAGGCGACGAUACAUAGCCGACCUGAGAGGGUGAUCGGCCACACUGGGACUGAGACACGGCCCAGACUCCUACGGGAGGCAGCAGUAGGGAAUCUUCGGCAAUGGGGGCAACCCUGACCGAGCAACGCCGCAUGAGUGAAGAAGGUUUUCGGAUCGGAAAGCUCUGUUGUAAGUCAAGAACGAGUGUGAGAGUGGAAAGUUCACACUGUGACGGUAGCUUACCAGAAAGGGACGGCUAACUACGUG